This 1123-nucleotide long non-coding RNA is filed under the name Homo sapiens (human). Its description in RNAcentral is "HSALNT0159414". Lineage: Eukaryota; Metazoa; Chordata; Mammalia; Primates; Hominidae. The record is from RNAcentral.
ACUCAGCAAGCUUGAACACCUUGCCGGGUAUCAUGCAGUUGAAUAUGGUAGAAGUGGGAAUUGAAGCCAGGUGUGCCUCACUCCAAAGGUUACACCCCUGCUGCCCUGACAAGUAACAAUGGGCCUCUUCCAGUGAAAUGCUUCCGUGGUUGCCUGCUGCUCUUGGUUUUGGUGUCAUCUUGUUUUACGACUUCCCUGCACAUCCUGAUUUGAGGACAAGAACGAACGAGAAGAUUUAAAGUGAAAAAGGACAUUGAGUUGAUUUGAAUGAGAAAUAUAUCUGCAAGGAGAUAGAGCCUUGCUUUGUUCUCUAGGCUGGAGCAUGCUGGCGUGAUCACGGCUCACUGCAGACUCAAGCAACCCUCCAACCUCAGUCUUCUGAGUAGUUGGGACCACAGGGAAAGAGACCUGCAGUUAAAUUUGAAAUGAUGGACAACUUGACCCCAAAAAGACCUUGCUGUAAUUUGAAUUCCUGUUGGCUGUCUGAAAGCAUUCUGCUGGUGCUCCCUGUUGAUUGAAGUCAACCAGAAUCCAGAGAGGAAGUGAGUCCAUUUGGAUAAUCCACGUAGGUCAGACUCUUGGGGGCACAAAUUAGUCUGCAGAAGAAACUACUACACAAUCUACUGGUGUUAACGUUUUACUAGUUUGACCACAGCGUAGAAUAUUACCUCCUAUUUAUAAAUGGUUUAAAUGUUCCUUUCGUGUAGAUUUAGAAGCACUUAAGACAUUAUUAUAGUUUUUACUUCAACACUCAAAUAUACUCUAGAAAACCCAAGACAAGGAAAAUGUAUUAUACAGUCAUGUGCUGCAAGAUGAUGUUUUGCUCAGUGACGGAAUGCAUAUAUGAUGGUCCCGUAAGAAUAUAAUACCAUAUUUUUACUGUAUCUUUUCUAGGUUGUGAUAAAUGAAUUUUUUUCACUGUGUUACAGUUGCCUACAGUAUCCAGUACAAUGACAUGCUAUACAUGUUUGUAGCCUAGGAGCAAUAGGCUAUACCAUACAGCCCAGACGUGUAGUAGGCUAGUCCACUGGGUUUGUGUAAGUAUAGUCUAUGAUGCUCAUGCAAUGGCCAAUUUGCCUAAUGACACAUUUCCCAGAACAUAUCCCUGUCAUUAAAAGAUGCA